Molecule: ribosomal RNA, 1509 nt
Filed under: uncultured bacterium
Lineage: Bacteria
Description: bacterial SSU rRNA
Rfam family: Bacterial small subunit ribosomal RNA
Source: RNAcentral
AGAGUUUGAUCCUGGCUCAGGAUUAACGCUGGCGGCAUGCCUAAUACAUGCAAGUCGAACGGGAUGCUUAUGCAUCUAGUGGCGAACGGGUGAGUAACACGUAUCUAAUUUACCUAUUUGUGGGGGAUAACUGUUAGAAAUGACAGCUAAUACCGCAUAUGUAAUUCUUAGGCAUCUAAGAAUUAUAAAAGGUUCGUUUGAAUCGCAAAUAGAUAAGGAUGCGCCGCAUUAGUUAGUUGGUAAGGUAACGGCUUACCAAGACGAUGAUGCGUAGCCGACCUGAGAGGGUGAACGGCCACACUGGGACUGAGACACGGCCCAGACUCCUACGGGAGGCAGCAGUAGGGAAUUUUUCACAAUGGACGAAAGUCUGAUGAAGCAAUGCCGCGUGACUGAUGAAGGUCUUCGGAUUGUAAAAGUCUGUUGUAAGGGAAGAAAAGUUAGAAGAGGAAAUGCUUUUAAUUUGACUGUACCUUGCCAGAAAGCCACGGCAAACUAUGUGCCAGCAGCCGCGGUAAUACAUAGGUGGCAAGCGUUAUCCGGAAUUAUUGGGCGUAAAGGGUGCCUAGGUGGUUUUAUAAGUCUAAGGUUAAAGGCUGGAGCUUAACUCCAGUUUGCCUUGGAAACUAUAUAACUAGAGUAUAGAAGAGGUUAGUGGAAUUCCAUGUGUAGCGGUGAAAUGCGUAGAUAUAUGGAGGAACACCAGUGGCGAAGGCGACUAACUGGUCUAUCACUGACACUAAAGCACGAAAGCGUGGGGAGCAAAUAGGAUUAGAUACCCUAGUAGUCCACGCCGUAAACGAUGCUCGUUAGUUGGUGGCAGAGUCACUAGCGCAGUUAACACGUUAAACGAGCCGCCUGAGUAGUAUGCUCGCAAGAGUGAAACUUAAAGGAAUUGACGGGGACCCGCACAAGCGGUGGAGCAUGUGGUUUAAUUCGAAGCUACGCGAAGAACCUUACCCACUCUUGACAUCCUUGGCAAUGCUAUAGAGAUAUAGCGGAGGUUAACCAAGUGACAGGUGGUGCAUGGCUGUCGUCAGCUCGUGUCGUGAGAUGUUAGGUUAAGUCCUGUAACGAGCGCAACCCUCAUCCUUAGUUACUAACAUUUAGUUGAGCACUCUAGGGAGACCGCCGGGGUAACCCGGAGGAAGGCGAGGACGACGUCAGGUCAUCAUGCCUCUUACGAGUGGGGCGACACACGUGCUACAAUGGCAAGUACAAAGAGAAGCAAUACGGUGACGUGGAGCAAAACUGGAAAACUUGUCUCAGUUCGGAUUGAAGUCUGCAACUCGACUUCAUGAAGUCGGAAUCGCUAGUAAUCGUAGGUCAGACAUACUACGGUGAAUACGUUCUCGGGUCUUGUACACACCGCCCGUCACACCAUGGGAGUUGGUAAUACCCAAAGUCGGUAGAUUAACUUCGGAGAUCGCCGCCUAAGGUAGGACCGAUGACUGGGGUGAAGUCGUAACAAGGUAUCCCUACGGGAACGUGGGGCUGGAUCACCUCCUU